Molecule: small RNA, 841 nt
Filed under: Oryza sativa Japonica Group (Japanese rice)
Lineage: Eukaryota; Viridiplantae; Streptophyta; Magnoliopsida; Poales; Poaceae
Description: sRNA Os01g0757301
Source: RNAcentral
GCAACGAGUCGCCGACGUUGACGAAGAAGGAGUCGCGGUCGGAGGGCACGGACACCCACUGGCCGUCGCGGAGCGCGAUCUGCAGGCCGGACGUGCCGUUUGAGCGGAGCACGGAGACGAGCUGCGGGUCGGUGUGCUCGCCGAAGCCGGUGACGCUGCAGCCGAGCCCCUGCAGCGCGCGGCACGGCGGGUAGUGGUUCACGCGGAACACCUGGUCGCUCCCUUCCGCCGUCACCAGCGCGCUCAGCGCGUCCGCCUGCGCAAUGCCCAGCCCCUCCGACAUCGCCUCCAUCACCCGCACCGCCACCUUCCGCACCCCCGAGAUGUACUCGUUCAGAGCGGCCCUGCAUGCAUGACGCGCGCGCACCAUGUCAAACACUAGGUAAAAAACCGAGAGAAACGGACGGGGCUGAUAUUAUAUAUCGCCGUCGGUUUUGAGGGCUCACCGGAAGACCGCGCAGGACGGGACGGUGCAGGCGUCGGCGAGCGACGCGUCGUCGAGGGCGAGGAGGAGGUACUCGAGCCACCCCAUGUCGCCAUUGAACCCGAUCCGCUUGCUGCCGUACCCGAACGGGUAGGCCGGGCCGGAGCGGUCCUUGUCGGGCUGCGUCUGGGAGAAGAACCUGACGGCCUCCGACUCGGCCUUGUCCAUCGUGUCCGUGGCCACGCCGUGGUUGACGACCUUGAAGAACCCGUACCGCUCGCAGGCGUCCACCACGGCCCUCGCCGCGCCGGGGCUGCCGAGGUCGACGACCGGCACGCCGGAGAAGACGUCGCCGGGGUCCGGCGACCUCAGCAGCGGGAUGUGAUCGACGGCGGGCGGGCCAGCGAGAACCACCAU